AACCGGCAAGAUCGUACUCAUGGAACGAGGUUGAGUAACAAUACGUAUGUUUUGAUUAUGCGCAAAUGGCAUCACAGCUGGAUGUGCUACAGGCUUUGAAAAGUAUCCCAGUUUGGGAAUGAGAUAGAACCUCGUGUUUUCGUGCCUGUUGACCCUAAGAAAUUCCUGCUAUGCUUGUUCUUUGUGGGCUUGAGAAGAAAAAUGAUGUAUAAGAUGAAUAUAACUCGUUUUCUGCUCGAGGACAAGAAAGAUGACUGUGUUCUUGGUCUGUCCUUGAUUCACCUCUGUCCUGAUGGGCGUGAUCACCAAGGAGACAUUUGAUAACAGGCUUUGGUGCCACUGUGGUGACUGGUCGGAUGCUUGGUGUUGCAUUGGCAGCACCAGACUGCUUUGUUCUACCAAGCCGAUAAUGCUUUGACCACUGUUGGCAAACCAAGUACUUGGAUGAAGGAGACGAGACCCUCAAGACUGCAAGGCUGAUCGUCGCUGUUGCAAUUUUGUGCUUGCCAAGUGGUGUCAUCUGCACCAAGAACAAUUUCUGUUUCUACAAGGAGGACAUUAUUCCACAGCUAGUAUGCCAGUAGGUGUCAUUGAGGAGUGUGUGGUUAGAGCUCUCAUCAGAGGAACGUCUAUGGCAGUGCAGAGGAGAGAGAGUCAUAAGACCGGAGAUCUAGCUGAGGGUGCCGUGGUCCCUAAGUUGCCUUGGUGUACCCGUCAGUUCGGCAGUCCUCUGUGGAUAUGCUGCAGUUUAGAUAAGAUGCUUCGGAAAACUGUGAGGAGGGAUCGCACUCCGUCGUCUUCUGCUGUUGACAAUUCACCCAUGGCCAGUCCGUUUGCUGUACACUCGUUUAUGAACAGAUUUGCCGGUUUACUGCUGAAGCCACUUGCAAAAAAAAAAAAGAACUGGAAGGACACUGAGAGUAACAUUGGCCUUAAAAGAAAGAGUUAUGGAUGGAACAGUGGUGUAACUUGGAGGAUAUCAACAACAAAUGAAUAUCACUUUUGAAACUCCUCCAUCACAGCUGAACCGUUCGGCAUAAAGUGUUCAAAUUGACUUUGCUCGAUCCAAUUCUUGAAUUUAACUUGGAACCAAGAGAUAUACUAUAUAAUCUUUUGGGAUUUCAUAACAGUGGAAAAGGACAAAUUCCUCCACUGAUCAAACCUUUUUUAAGUCCACAUUUUUGAGUUUCCUUGAUUUGACUUUAUUUUGUCACUGACAUGGUGCAGAGAAAAAAUGCACAAAACUAACCGGCAGAAGUUACACCACUGGGACAAGGCUAGACCUUUAUCAGGAAGAGAAACCAUGCUCCACUGUAACCUUAUGGACCAUGGUAUUUUUAGUCCUUAGUAUUUUUUCUACAUAAGAUUUCACAACCUGCCCUCGCUACAGUCACUAAAAAAGGACAUCCAACAUUUUUAACACAAGUUCCAUAACCCCAGAAGGAACAUGAAGGACUCUCAUUAUUGAAACUGGUAGUAUGAGAAAUUGUUCCAAUUUGUACCAUUUGUGCUUGCGAAAUAUUUUACUUUCAUUUUCUUAUCUCGGCAAAGCACUGUGUUACCUGAGCAGAUUUUUGCGCGUACACUGUACCUGAGGGCAGGUUCCCCUAAAGGAAGUUUAAUUUCUAAGUAAUCCUAAAAAUGCCAAAGUGGUAAAACCUUCAACAGCUACAUGUACGUGUAAGAUGGGUACGGUCCUCUACAACCACACAUUGACAGUGUUGUCCUUUGAGAAGGAUUCUGUUUUGUCAGUUCACACACCUGUACUGGUACAUGUAGAGUGUGCCAGAUCACUGUAGUCAGCAAAAAGGCUGGAGCAGUUGUGUUGUCUAACUUGUCUAAAAUGGAAGAUUUCCUGAAAGAGUGAAGUUACAGUAUCCUGUAAAGUUAAUGGUAUCAAGGUAAUUCUUAGGAUGUUAGAAAACAAGAGACCUCUUUUAACAUGUAAAAAUGCUCAUUAUGCAUACUUCUCAAAAUAAGUCCUUUUUUAGUUUAGAUGAGCUGUAUCAAAGCAAACUCUGAUGAUCUGCAGUUGUUCAACUUUUCCAACCCCCCCCUCAAAAAGGUGCACUCUAAUUCUCAGUUGUGUCUAAAGUAAGCAGGAAUUUUAAAAACCCAUCUUACACGUACUACCCAGAGUGUAAUCAGCACCAAUUGAAACUGCCCAGAUUCAUGCUGUGAAAACUCUGAAAGUUGGCGGACAAAAGCCGCUGUAGUUUGUGCGUGUGCCAACUUUAGCUUCUGCAAAGCUAUCACUAAACUCAUUUCUACAUAAAACCUCUCCAAUUCAUCUGAAAACAGUCGCUGAGUUUUCCAGCAUCAGUAGCCUCCAGUUCAUACAUUCUCUUUUAAAGAAAUACAUGUGUUGCUUGUGCAUGCAUGCAAUGUGAUCAUGUUAAUGCAAAAAGGUAACAUGAAAAUCAAUGUGUGUGUGUUUUUUUUUAAGAAAAAGCAUUUCAAGUGUUUCCUGCCAUGUAAGUGCUGAUUAUACCCUGUUUUAAUUGAUGUGUUGAACGUUGACUCUAAUUUACACAUUUCUUAUGUUUUACCACCAGGCAAACCGAAAUAAAAACCAAAGCCCAGCCACAUGCAGGCCCUCCUGGUGCGUGCACGUGUGUUCCCUGCCCGCAGACGCUGACAGGUUGGUGGUUGCCCGCUAUCUGCAUUGGCUUGUGAAUCGGCUGUUGGUGAUGUAUACAACCUCCCUAAAUCUUGUGAGUCUGGGUGAUUGUGGAUACCUCAGUAGACAGCAACAUGGUAAGGAUCCUCUGAACUUUGGCAAUUGGUCAGUUUGUCUACCAAGCAGAUGUGCAUGACCACUGCUCUAGGGAUGGCAGUUCAAAGAGAACACCCGUGCAUCGACCCCGUCAUUGCUCACUUGACUUUUCAAGAGUUCUCCAACAUCUCUGUCCUUGAUCUGAGAAAAUGAGAGUUUACAAAAUGGUUGACUUUUUGUAGGCUUCCUUGGAUAUUCAACAGUGUCAAAGGAUGUUAGGUUGGUUGAUUACGCCCUCGUUCACGGCGAAAAGUCCAUUUAACUCAGCAGUCUCUCUGCUGUUAUAUGCACAUGUUCCAGUGUCACUUUGCAAGCAGCGUGGAGUCUAAAACACUUUGGAGUGCACUAGCAUAAAAAAAUUAAAAAAAAAACUGAAGUAGCACGUCGCAGCAUGUCAUUGAAUCAGGAAGAGUGCAGGCUUUACAUGAAAAGUUAAAUCCAAAAGCUACUGGAAUAUUGGUUCUUUUUAGCAAACUUGUUAAGUCCAUAGUUAAGAAGGCAGUAGUCCUUCGUGCCAAAAUUGUUGACGAAGCUCAAAUUUCUGCUUAAAAGCCCGCUGAAAAAUGAAAUUUUCUUGGAAGCGUGUAACAUGUCAGUUUGAAACUACUAAAUGUAGUGCUUUGUGCCAAACAUUUUACUUAGCACAUAUUUUUUGGUAUUUAUGAAAUCUUCAAAACUGACAUUUCAUGUUUCAAAGCCACUGAAACAUCAUGUGAAAGGGAGCAUUUUUUGUGGAAAAAAAGCAAUUCACAGAUUUGUUCCUACUCAAAGACGUCAAUUUUGUUGGGGUAGUGUCAUCAAAACUUGUUAAAUUUAAUCCAUGUAAGAAGAAAAAUAUCAAAAAUGGAAAGAAAAAGAGUAAAAAAAGAAGCCAAACUCUUCAAUCUGCUUUGAAGAAGUCCCUGGUUUGCCAAGAGGGAAAACCACACUGUUAGAUUGCUCGGUGGAUGAUGCAUCCGGGCCAUUCACUCCAAUCACAUGGGAGACACACACACACAUGCAACCUGUUCAAGGAACGAAGCAGAGUUCUGCCCCACGAGUUAGUUGAACUUAAAAUUCAAGAGUUAAAAAUGCCACUGUAUGAAUAACUUUAACUACCGCACCACUUUCCCUGACACUACCUGCUGCUGUCAGGUACGCCUAGCACAGUUCACUGUCUGGCACUUUUUCCUUGACAGUUUGCCUGCCACAUUGACGUAAUAUGGUGUAUGAAAAACCUCAACCCCGUCGAAGGCUCUUUUCCUGAGAGCAGGGGGGCCGAGGUUUCCUGUACAAAGAAAAUUCAGUCACAUUUUUAAAGACAUCCUUCAUCAUUGGUCAAAAGCCCAGAGGGGAAAAGUAAUAUACGGAUGGACAAGGUGGGAGCAAAAUUGAUAUGUGUGACCCUCAAUCGGAGGAGUGAAUGGCCUGGGAGAUUGGGUAGCCAAUCUGUCUGUCAGUAUCCUAUACAGAAACUGUGGCAUCGACACGGGGAGCCAGUCCCGGCUACAAGGUCCAUGGUAAGUUCAAUUGAAGUUUGUAGAAUUGAUUCGUGCACUGGUGUGAACAAACAUGGUUGUACAUCCUAAUGUCUCUAAACCCAACUUUGUAUCUCAUGGCUAGGAGUAGGACUGUAGUCUGUAUGAACAAGGUGGUAAUGUGCAGAUGGUCUUCAGUCUAAGGCAGUACACAGUGGCGUAGCUGAUGGGUGGGGCAUGCGGAACUCAAGUAAAAGUCACUGAUAAUUUGAUCAGCCAUUGCGAACUUGCUACCAAUGAAUAAUAUAAGCUAAAGCAGGCAAACCUGGCUGUUAAACUGACUGGUUAAAAACUGACUAGCUGACCAUUUAUUCCUUUCUAAAAACAGCUGCACAUAGUUACAGUGUGUUGCUCACUCUGAUAUUUGGCAGAAUCAGCAGCAGCUAUAUGUUGUCAGUGCAGUUUAUUCGUGACUGCUCAGUAAACCCGUACAUGUACAUCAAUCCUGUGAAUAUUAUGCUGUGCUUGUUUAACUUCUGCAAUGCUCGUACAGCGGCAGUGGUCAGGAGAAGAGACCAAACUUUUGCAUGAGCCUGACAACCAGUUGCCUUCAGAAUGGCUGUGUGCAGUCUGUGAGAUAUCCAGCCAUUAUGAAUCACAGAAAAACAGCAGUUAACUUUGACAAGAUAGAUCAGAAUUCUGGUAGAAUUCUUGAGAUGCACUGGCAAAUGCUCUUAACUGCUGAGCAUUGACCCAAAUUGUCUGUGGUUUUGGUGUUCAGUCGUGGAGGAGCCUUUUCAGUGGCUGUAGCAAGCAACCCUCCUUCACACUGGUUCCAGGAGGCACAUGUAGAACCAAUCAGUAGGUCCUGGUAUCAAGAAGCUAAUGGCCAGAUGUCGGGAAUUAGCAAAUUGUGUGUGUUAUGCCUGCAACUGGACCCACCCCCACCCUCAGCUACGUCACAAACACGACUAAACAUAAAACGAAACCACAGGAAAUGCCUGUUGGUGUUUUGUUUGGAAGAAUCUUGAUCAAGGCUGCGAUAACAUUUCUUUUCUCAUUUUCAAGCACAAAGAAGUGUUGGAAUAUUCUUUGGUUCGAGAACCUCAUAAUUUGGCCGUAGAUAAUCCCUUGGCAAAUCAGAAAGCACGAGAGACUGUAAAAAAAUGGUUAACCAUCCAUUUCAAAGAUGCACUCUCAAUGUUAAAAUGAACAAGUCAUAUGAUGUGUCUAAUGUAAGGCAUCACAGUAUACCUGAAGCAGUUCAACAAACCUUGGCCAGAUGGAAGUUGAUGAAGCAAGGGCUUAGCGCCGAAGCCCAAAAGGCAGUUGCUUGAGAAUCGCUGUCUAAUUUCUGGUCUUUCUGUAAUGACUACAACCUCCAGCAUCGAACCUAGUCCAUCAUUCACAGAAGGCUUAACUCGCAUUUGCCUAAAUGUCCACCAGACAGGUAUGGGGCUUAUUGUUGAAGCCUUUUAACCCCAGCAAGGUCUUGCCAUGCAUGGCUUGAUUUCUAGUGUCUCUUGUACGGGGAUUCUUUCUGCAGUUGUGUUAUCAGUGCCUCAAUCAAGACCGAUCAAAAAGGAAAUGCUUUUGUCCAGUCCUAACAUUCACUUAGAAACAAACUUUCUCAAGUAAGAUUUAUUAAAUCUUCCGAUCAUCCCAAUACUGUUUGCCAUAUUUGGAAAAGAACCUCAAAGACUGUCAACAGUCAGUACUGCUUUAGACUGAAGUCCAUCACGUUCCAUGCAUUUUUGUCUUAAAAAACAUAGGAAGGUCUGUUCAUGACAGGGAUCACCUAUUUUGGUGGUGAAAUAGUUCCAUUUGAAAUAGUGCCGUCUAACAGAAGUUGUUACAUGUCUUUGUUUGAAUAAAGUCAUGGAAAACAAAUAACUAAGAAUAUCCGAAGGCCAGUUUUAAUGGUGAGGAUGCCCUUUCGCAACAGUAUUUCUGGCUGUGUGUCAUGGAAUGAUUUGUGUGCAAUUCAAAGGCUACACCACCUCAUUAAAUUUAAUUGUGCUGUUUUAUCGAUUGUAUAUUGACAGGAAAAUUUGCAGAUGUGUCGUCAUAUUUUUGGCGGUCUUGGUGCCCUGUUAUUUACUUACCAAAAACAUUUUUCUCUAAACAUCCUCGACCCCAUCUGCAUAAAUUUUGUUUUGGCAAGAAGGAAGAUUAAGAAAUAUCAAACAAAAUGUGGUUAUCUUUUGAGCUGAACGUAUUGGUGAUCCCUUUUUCUGGACAGAUCCAGGAUCAAUUUUCAUCUUUUAGCUUAAAUCUAGAAUGGAAAGCACCUGUGUUCCAUUUUCAAACCUCACGUUUUGGUAGAAGCUCGUGGCCAAGUCCAAGUCAAGUUUAUCUUGUCUGGUCACUUUUCAGUUUAGAGUCAAGAUGGUCAAGUCUGAGGUAGAGUUAUUUAACAUUCCUAAUUCAGGAGACGAGAGUUUUCGCCCAUGUAACCCUUGUAACUUCAUUAGCAGUGAAUCUACUAUAAAUCCACCUUUUCCAUUUUGGAAAAACAGUAUUUUUACUAUCCUAAGUAAUUAAAAAAGAACCAUAAGCAUCAGCCAGAUAUGCCUAUAAUUUGAUUACAUACCACUCAUUAUGUGAUUUCCCAGUUAGAAAGUAUAAAUUUGUUCCAAAACGAUCUCCAUAUCACUAAAAAUAGGUUCAAAAGGCAGUGAUCUUGGUUUCCUACUUCUGAAUUUUUGGCUGUUCAAAAGUAAAUUGAUUGGUGACUGAUAUCUAAUCUGUGAUACAGAUGUUAUUGAAGCCUCAGAUGAAUCUAGAGUGCACCAGUUUUAAGCUUUCACCAAUGAUAUUUGAAGAGUCUUAUUGACACAAGUUAAGAGAGGGAAGUUCCAAAGUUUUUUCAACAUUAAUCGCGAUGAACUGACAGGUUACGGACGCCUUCUUGACAAAGAGCUCCUUCAAAAGGAAUCAGAGCUUGAACUCAUAGGAGAAUUGCGUACAUAGUAUAUGUCUGUGGGUUUUCACUCACGUCUUACUUCAGCUGCAGUUUAUACUGUUACCCGUAUGUCUUCCUCUUUAAGAGGAGGCAGAAGGAAGUUCAGUAAGUGUUAGUAUAUUUUGCCAGGUUCGAAUUUUAAUUGAAAAUACAUGUACAGAUCGCAAAGUCAAAGGACAGUUUCUUGCAGUCGUUUGUUGGCAAGUUUAUUGGUCCCCUGAAAGGAACAAGUUUACAGAUGACGCGCAUGUCUGUAACUAUGGGUCAGGGUCUUCAUUAUGUUCUGCAGCUUCAUACCACAGAAUAACAAGGAAACAAAUUUCUAAUGUUCAAAGGUCAUGGUUAUUUGUUUGAGGCAGGUCCUGGGAAAAUCACAGAUUUGAACAAGGGAAUGAGACAGUUGAACAAAGUUAUUGUGUUUGCCAACGGGUAUUUGUGCACAUACAUGUACCUGGUCCUAUCUAGUAGUAUGUUCUUUUAUACUGUAUAGAGUCUGAAACCUACUCAAAAGAUGCCAAAGUACCACAUGACCGCAUGAUUCACCCAGCGUUGUCAAAAGUUAUAGACUAGACCGUGAAGGUUUUUUUUUUUUUUCGUGUAAAACAAGAGUGACGUCUGCCUAAUCUCAAUCAAUCGUACCAAUCCAGAACAGGGUGCGGGCCCUGAGUUAUUCGCACACAUUACCAUCAAAGCGUUGCAUACUUGCAUACUGUGUAGAUACUGUGCAUUGCAUUGUGGUUUUUGCCUGCAACAUUGAUGGACACACAUUAAUUAGGUCACAUCGGUCAGUGAAAGUGCCCUGUUGAUGCUACACGCUGUUCUCUAGUUUCCUGUCAUUUUUUUUUUCAGAUCUGCAUUUUUUCCAAAUUGUCAAACCUUAUCAAGCGUGAAAUAAGGCACUGUUUCCUGGAGUCCAUUUCUGCAUUGUGGCAUUUGUUGCACAAUUUUGUGUUCUUCCGAACUUCCAUUUUUGGGGCUUACUGAAAAAAUACACUUUCCAGAUAUUUGAUUCACUUCAUAAACACGAUGUUUUGGUAGCAAAGUUUAAAUCAUGUCUACUUAACUUGGCAUCAGAUAUUGGAUAGAAUGUAGUAUAUCUGCUGGCAAAUUUAUCAAGGAUCACAGUAAACUUUAAUUCAGUGUUGGCACAGAUUUUGUAAAAAGUGGCCAAAGAAUCUGUACUUGUAUAAAUUACACAUUUAGCAGUGUCGGAGUUCCUACAUGUACAUGUACAAACCAGUACCUGUACGUAUUUAUGAUAUGGGUUACUGUCCAUUGCCACCUGUUUUUCCCAGGGCCUGCCUAGGUCAGCAUGUGAGCAUGUACAUUGCCUGCCUUAUGCAGACAAGCCUAUUCCAUUUAUGCCAUGAGAUUCUGUGGGUUUAGGGAGUAUUAAUGAGGAUGUGCAACCAUACAUUGUACAGUGCAUGAAUUAAUGAAAACUUCAAUUGAAUUUAGCAUGGAGUACGGGACAGGCUAACCCCGUGUCAUUGGAUGCUGCAGUUUCUACGGAUACUGACUGGCAGAUUGUUACUGUAUCAUCCACUGAGUCAUGGAGCAGUGCUGUGGUUUUUCGGAAUAGGAUACGAGGACAAAGCAUGUGAAAAAUGUUCUUGUAAAAAAAAAGUUUAUUAAAGCAGUAUUUAUUCAAACAUUUAGGUGUCCCAAAAGCAACUGAAAGAGGGAUUACCGUAAAAAAAAAGAUGAGCUAAUAUGUUUUGAUUGCAAAGAAAGGUUUGGCUUAUAAUUUUUUGACAGUGUGUUGGAAAAUGCGUGGAAAAUGUCACAUUCACAAUACAGUCAAGUUCCAUUACCAAGUUCAUAAAUGUGAGAGUAUUCAUCAAUGGUACCGUGCAUUCAUUGAACGAAUUAAACUGAGAGUUAUGAUGGCAUUGCCCCACUGUUUUGAAAGCCAUUCGGAACGCCUCGAUAUAAGAGUUCCUAAAAAAACAUUGUUUAAAUAUUGGUUAUAACAUAGCCUCUAACACGUGCAUGUAAAUUUGAGCUUCAAAAACUCAGCAUUGUUUAAAUGUUUCAAAAUGUCAUACAUGUGCAUUGAAAAAUGGCAGUCUCGAAAAAACUGUGUAAACUUCUAAAUUAGAAUGCCUUUCUAGGUAUUCAGUGGGAAUUGAAAUCUUUGCAGAUUGAAUUUGGCAAUGUUUUUGUCACCAAAAGUCAAACUUGCACUCUUCCCCGUUUCCUCUAUGCUACUUGCAAAAAAGUUUCUCGGAAACAGACAAUACUUGUAAACUGCGAAGCGUUUUUUGGAAAUUUCUGCGUUUGUUACAUUAACAUAUUGAUGAAGAACUUAUGUGCGGCGGAUGUAUAAGACAGCAUUGUCAUUCCGAAUGAGGGCAAAUUCAAUUGAUGUAACAUCUUUUGACACUUUGAAACGUCCAAGGAAACUCGCCAGAAACAAAACCAUUUGUAUCUUUUGUUUAAUUGGAUCAAAAGACAAGAUGGAACUGAACAUCUGAAUUGCUCAUGGAACAAUCAAGGGAAGAUGCAGUGUCUCUUUUUACUGUCAUUCUCCAAGUAGAUGGUGGGUUUCCAUGGAAACGUGCGGCGUAUACAUAACCCAAAGCAGCAUCUGCUUGGUAGAAAAAUGAACUGAUUGUCAGAGUUCAUAGAAUCCUUAUUAUGUAGGUGUCUACUUGGGUUUUCCAUGAUUGCUCAGAUACUUGCAGGUUUUUGGGGGGGUUUGUGUACUUUUAUCAGUGGUUGAUCACAAGUUGAUGUGGAUAGUUGGGUGACUGCCACUUGUUGGAGUCUGUGGGCAGGGAACAUGCGUGUGCGCACCAGGAGGGCCUGCAUGUGGCUGGGCUUUUUUUUUUGGCCAGUUCAAAGGUCAAAGUUCAAAGGUCAGGUCAAAGGUCAGGUCAAGGUUGAAAGGUCAGGUUAAAGUUGAAGCUUGAAAUAGAAAGACCAAUAAAAACUUAAAGGUACCAGAUGCACUUUCUCUUUGGCUUCUUUAUUCCGUACUCAUUUGUAAAAUUCAAUUAAUAGAGCGCCCUCUAUUUGUAUACAGCAUUUCCCCACUAACACCAGAGGGCGUUGUCUCUGC
Long non-coding RNA from Acanthaster planci (crown-of-thorns starfish), 10262 nucleotides. Lineage: Eukaryota; Metazoa; Echinodermata; Asteroidea; Valvatida; Acanthasteridae. The record is from RefSeq and is a predicted model, not a curated record.